GAGCUGCCGUGCGAGUUGCCUCACACAGCCCCGCACAUCCUCCGCCGGCCGCCUGCGGGGAGCAGCGGGGUCGGCCCGGCGGGAUCCGAGCGCUUCUGGCUGCAGACAGCAAAGCCUUAGCGCGGCGGGACGCCCCGAGUCACACAACCCAGCAUCACACCUGAUCCAGCUCCUACUCCAGCGGCCACAGUGGCUUCGCACCCUGCAGAGCAUCGGUGGCACUGAUCCUGACACGAGCUGCGUGGGGCUUUGUGGGGAGGGGUUUGGGUUGGUGGUAUUUUUUUGUGCCUAAAUAACUUAAAGGGGGGAGGAAUAACUUCUGAUGCAAAUGAACAGCUCUUUAAUUUUAAGAGACUCUUAUUUUGCAGCAGUGUUUUUUGUUGCCUUGCUAUUGAACUUUGAAAAUAGUGUGGCGGGGGGAAGGCAGUGAUGAAGGUUCUUGAAGGCUUAAGAUUUAGUUAAGUGAGUGACUCAAGACGGCACAAAGAAAGUUACUUAGUUAAUUAAGAAUUAUUCACCUUCUGAUACCGGCGCAGCAGUUUGUUGCGAUGACAGUGCGAACCUGGGGCAGGUGGAGGCAGGAGGCAGCAGGGGAGGAGGCAGAUUUCACUCGUUGUUGUUUUUAUUAUUUUUUUUUCUCCAGGACAAGUUAAAUUGCAGCUGAAGGAAAGAGAUUUCAGGAUUAAAAUGCAGACUGGGGAGACCGGGCUUGUUUGGUCACCGGCCGCACCGAGCGCUCCAUGUCGGUCCCGCUCCUCGGGGCUCGCCGGGGGCUGGCAGCGGGGCCGGGAAACGGCUCCGGGCAACCUCUUCUUUAACUUGGAUGCCUCUCACCCACCUCCCCGGCCGGGGCGGGAGAGCGCGGAGGGUGCGCGGGUGCGGGGUGCGGGAGCGCCUCGCCCGGCCCGGGGGUUGCUCCCACGCGGGGCCUGGGUCCCCACGCUGACCCAUGGGCUGCCCCUGCCAGAGGGUAGGGACACAGAAGCAGAGCUCUGCUCCCGCUGCACGAGAGAAACUAAUUCGCGUUUAAUUGCUUCUCUCAAGAAGGAAACCUCAGCGGUUCCCCCACGCAGACACGCGCGUUCCUGCCCGUGAGGAAAUUGUCUCCAGGAAAGCUCCUGAAGAAAAGUCCAAGGAAGCCAGGAUUACACCCAGCAUUACUAUUCAGAGGCUGUUUUGGGAAGAGGAAGGACCACAGCGGAGCUGGGGUGGCCUUUGGUGUCUUCACAGUUAAACACAAAGGUCAUGGCAACCCCCUCCCCACUGCUAGGAAGCUGAGAAGAAGAGGAAUCAUAACAUCAUAAGAUGUUUCCCUGUUCUCACUUCAUCCCAUAGUACCAGAUAAUUGCUUUUUCAACUGAAACUCAGUUUCUGUUAUUGCGAUGUUACUGCUCCUCCAUGAGCUUCAGCAUUUGUCUAAAACAAAAAUUAGAUAAUCAUGUCUUGUCUAUUAGAGUCUCUUGCUCAGUUUCUGGACUGGAUUGAUAACCAUUCACAUUUAAUGCUAUGUUAAGUAACAGCUUCCAGAAAUUGAGUAGGUGAGGAGGCUGUGGAGGAGAUAAGAGGAAAUUGUCUUGUUCUUGGGCUACAUCCCUGAGCUCCAAAAGCACCUCUCCUUCAGGUACAAAGCCUAGGCCACGUGGCUAGACUAGUGCUAAAACCAAGUCACCCCAGGGAACUAGGAUUUCUGAUAAAACCCAAAUACCUUUUAGUUUUAAAAAAACAGACAUCUUUUAUUUUACGUUUGAUGGCAAAUAAAGUCAGAUUGAUACGGGGUAGGAGUGCUGAGGGCAGUGGAAUUUAGUAGCAUGCAGGCAGCCUGUGAACUUGAAUAACAUCUCCAGCAACAUAUCCACACUCCAGCAACAACAACCUCCAGCCAGAAACAGUUGAAAAACACAUGUAAAGAAAGCAGAUCCAGAAACAACACAAAAGAACAUUGUGGCAAGUGGCAAAAAAACGCAGCAGCUUGCAGAACUGCUGCUCUCACUCCUUCCAGCUUUACAGCAACUGUUUCUGUAGGAGGUUACUUUUUCCCCUGGUCAGACUCUGUGUCUGUCCUUCCAUCUCCUCAUGUCAGCUGAAAAAUGUGUUGAAGAGGGCAGAAGUGAGUGGGUGACGUUGUGAAGUUGUGUUCUUCAACUAAAAUACACCUGCACUUGGCUAGUUACCCAGUUAUCCCACUGGGACUGUAACAGCCUAUUCAUUACAAUAACCUAACAAAUGGUCUAGAAGUUUUGUAUUGAAAGGAGGCUGCAGCUGACAUGACUGUUUCUUCCCUGAAAAUGCAAACGUGGAUGCGAUGGGAUGUCCCUUUCCCUUUGCUCGGGUGAGUGAUAGCUCAAAGUUUAAUUUUAAAUAUAAGCAGUCCAGCACAUUUUCUCAUAUUCAUGCAAACUGGUGCUUUGAAACAAGCUCAAUCACUCUUGCUUCAAGAGCAGGGUGGGCAGGAACCUCAGCUCGAGCACUGCUACAGUGAAAUGAUGGUGCACUUCUGCAGUGAUGCUUGACUGUCUGGGGGUGCCGACACUGGUUAGAGCAGCAGGGAUUUCUCUGCUGCUCCCACACACAGCCCGUGAAAGGCAAUCAGUCUUUGCAGGGAACAGUUCAAAUAAUUCAUGUCCCAUAAUAAUUGUAUAUUCCUACUAAAGUGACACUGAACAGUCGAUUCUUCGAGAAAAGAGAUUUGCCCAUCACCCUAGAUGAUUGCUAACGCGUUACAUAUCUAAAAAGAAAUCCCUAAAGCCGCACGAUGGCAUGUAAGUAUGGACAAAUUAGUGAUGAUUCCCAAAAGUGGCUGAAAUGGGAAGUUCUUCGCACAUGCGCUGGGUUGUAGAAAGGAGCCUGAAUCCCUCCCCUGUGCCUGCUAGACCCUUCAUAUCAUGAUGACUGGCUUGUACAACUCCCCUCUCUUCACUGUUGUCUGCUGUGCAAACAUAUGGUUGGUGUUUCCUCAGUAGGGAGCCCCCAGCUGAGAUUGCACCUGUGGUAUAGUCAACAGUAAACACAACUAAAGAGAGUUAACCUACUUAUGUGCACUUGAGAGAGGUGAGUUUACCCACUUUUAUUUACUGCUACGCCACCGGACUGAGCUUCAGCGUAAAUUGGUUCAAGGUGCCUUGUUUCAGCAGUCAUACAGAGAACUGGCUUCUUAGUGAUGCUGUAACUCAAAGGUGUGCAAAAUCACUGCCUAACUGGGAAUAAAAUUAUCAUAAGCACAAUUAUGUCUGUGCUGAAAGGACAAGGUCAGAAGAGAGAAUCCAAAAUGUCAACAAGACUAGUUCAUGAUGGAUUGUCCCAGACAAAGCUGUCCAAUGUUAUACAUCACAAAAAGUUAAAAGAUGAUGUAAUUUAUAUGUUAGACUCAUUGUUAAUUCACACCAGAACUCGAGGAACGGCAAAAUCAGUUGUAGUACUUUCAGCCAUAUGGCACGUUUUGGGAUGUGUGGUGAGGGUGGUUGGCAAUACGUGAUUUUAUCUUCAGCAUGUCAGGAAAGCAUUUUCUGAGCUGACAGUAGCUUUUGCAUUUGGCACCGAUAAUCUUGGGGGACUUCGUGUCAGUCUGCUUUCCCCUCCUUGGCUUCACAACAACUUGCUCUACUUUCGAAAGAAAAGGUGUUUAUGCAGCCGGAAGGGUCUUUGAGUAAGUCCUUCUGCUCCAGGGUUUUGGCGUUGAUUGUUUAAACCUCUUGGGGUGGUGCAUCACAGUUAGACUGAACUACUCAAGAGCAAUUUGGUGGCGAUAGUGGCUUCUUACUAGAUCUCAGAUGUUUCUUGCAGGGCUUCUUGUGCUCCUACCCUGAUAUUUCCUUUCUUCCUUUUUGUUUUAGCCACCUUUUACACUAAACCAACAUAUUUCUUUAGUAAGCAUCCACAAAAGUCUGGUCAGCAACCAGUGUUCACAUAUUGUUUUGGAACACGUCUGUGUUCAUGGCUGUUGAAAAAAAGGAGAUGAAAACAUCACUCUUUUCUUUGCGUCCAAUCUGAACGCAUCUUGGUCAUUACAGGUGGGAAUGGAAGAGCUGCCUCUUAUUGUAGCUGUCUGAUAUUUCUAUGAAAAGAAAUACUGAUUAUAAUAUUUCUAGAUUAUACGAACAAGGGCAAAAUUUUCUGUUGUUACCCAGAUCUUCAGGAGUGAAAACAAAGAUCAUGGCAUUCAACUCCCAGGAUGCAAAGAAAAGCAGUUAUGCCAGUCAUGUCAAAAAGCGUCUGGAAGAAGCCCAGGUGGUACGUAUGCAGCAAAGCAGCAACAGACAUAUUUGAAGGUUCUCCCCUUCCUGAAAAACCUUAAUUUGCUGACUUUUCUGAAUGCAUGCAGGCACCCUCAGUAACUGAGUGCAGUGCUGCUGGAGUUGAGCACAGGAUGCACCUUCCCCUCCUGCCUGCUGUGUGCUGCUUCCUGGGAGACUUGCUAUUGGCAGGCACAUGGGCCAGACAGCAGAACUUCCUGGCACAGAGGUGGAGGGGAAGGGAUAGAGUGAAAAAAGGAGAACAUGGAGGCCUAGAUUUUGGUUCCCCUCUGGAAGCUGGAAGGGGGAGAGGAACUAUGACUUGGCCUUCAGGGUAGGAGUGAGAGCUGAAAAUGAGAAAAGUGGAGUAGGAAUAGUUUGGCAAAGAAAUUAGAGCUGGGUGAAGAAGGCACCUGGGUCUGAGGACUGGGAGGAGGAUCCUGCUGUCUGAAAGAAAAGGAAAGCUUAAUGAGGGCACUCCAAGUAAGUGAGAAGCUGUGUGGAGAGCUGGAGUACCUAUGACUGGCUGUGUAAAGGAGUCUCAGACUUCUUGAGCCAUAAAGGAAGGAUUGGGACAUAGUGGGAAAACAGGCACACGCAGAAUUUUCAUUUGCAGUGGAGCAAAGAGAUAAGUCCAAAGAGAGGGGAACAGAUUGAGAGGGCCUGGCUUCAGGUGGAGUAAGUAAGAGAACUGUAAGUCUCUUGGACCUUGCAUUGGACCAUAUUUAUUGUCUUAGGUUAGCCUGCAGAAGACAAGAUCA
Molecule: long non-coding RNA, 4990 nt
Organism: Neopsephotus bourkii (Bourke's parrot)
Lineage: Eukaryota; Metazoa; Chordata; Aves; Psittaciformes; Psittacidae
Exons: 3
Source: RefSeq, a predicted model, not a curated record